Jatropha curcas is the source of this 1142-nucleotide long non-coding RNA. RefSeq lists it as uncharacterized. The record is from RefSeq and is a predicted model, not a curated record. NCBI's taxonomy places the organism in Eukaryota, Viridiplantae, Streptophyta, Magnoliopsida, Malpighiales, Euphorbiaceae.
AUCUCUGCACGCACUUGUAAAUUUUAUCAGCAACUGCUUAUAUAAUUAGCAAUGAACCUCGUUAAUUACUGCACUGUCAUAUACAAUAAAAUUUAUGCUGAUGGUGUGAUUAGGUAAUGAUGAGAAAAUUAAAGCAGACAUGGGAUUUGGUUUCAACGUGUAAAGAGGAAAGAAGAAAGUGAGGAGGCUAAAUACUGUAUGUAAGUGUGUUUGUAUCUUGCAUGGAACUGAAGGAAGAGAGAGAUGAAAGUGAUAUGGUAAUUGAAAGAGGGAGAGAAAAAUAAGGGGGGUGAAUUGAAUGUCAUUUUUUAUGGAACCCAAGGACCAGAUGUAGGGUCAGGGGGGUCUGCUACUUUUAUUGCUUUGUUUGUCUUUUUCACUCUUUAUCUCUCCUCCUCCUAGCCUUUUUAUCUCUUUGUUUUGCUUGCUCUUUUCUCAUUCAUUUGUCUCUCCCUCUCUUCCAAAAUCAAAAUCGGUUUUGGUUUUUAAGUUCUUCUGUCAAUUGGGUUCUGAAGAAGCUGUAUAUCUUUUGAGGGGAAUGUUGUCUGGCUCGAGGCCACUAACUAGAUCUACAAGUUUAUCUCAAUUGAUUUUCUUUUUCAAAUUGUUGAGGUAUCACUGAUGAUCAUGUGUUAGUGACGUCGGACCAGGCUUCAUUCCCCCCAAUUGUUGCUUUCUUCCUUUCAAACUGUUCAUCUUUACAACCUUGAAGGUUCUUGAUCUUAAAAAGAAGAAGAAGAAGAAGAAGAAGAAGAAGAAGAAGAAGAAGAUAUUAGCAUAUACACAAUAAUUUUUUUUUCUUACAGUUUUGUUUUAUGAACUGUUUCCUGCUCAGCAGUUGUUUUUCGUAAAUAGUAGUCCUGCAAGAACAGGCAUAAAAAACUUUGAAGUAGGGGAGUAAAGAACGAGUGAAUUGUGAAUAAUUUUUCUAAAUUAAUUAAUUUGGAGUCAGUGAUCAUCGGGCUCCAGCCAAGGCCCAUCUCUUCAAAAUAUUGGACCACUCACACAACAAAGGCCCACCUCAAGGCUGUAUAUGUAUAAGGUUGCGGCUGUAUUUGGAAUUUUUUGGGCUUGAUUUGUGUGCUGUCUUUUGUGUCUUCAAAGCCCAUUAACGUAAAUAAUCUGUUUCUAUUUGUUUCUAA